GAUGAACGCUAGCGGCAGGCCUAACACAUGCAAGUCGAGGGGUAGUAAGUGCUUGCACUUAUGAGACCGGCGCACGGGUGCGUAACGCGUAUGCAAUCUACCUUGUACAGGGGGAUAGCCCAGAGAAAUUUGGAUUAAUAUCCCAUAGUGUUUUAGAGUGGCAUCACUUUAUUACUAAAGAUUUAUCGGUACAAGAUGAGCAUGCGUCCCAUUAGUUAGUUGGUAAGGUAACGGCUUACCAAGACGAUGAUGGGUAGGGGUCCUGAGAGGGAGAUCCCCCACACUGGUACUGAGACACGGACCAGACUCCUACGGGAGGCAGCAGUGAGGAAUAUUGGGCAAUGGAGGCAACUCUGACCCAGCCAUGCCGCGUGCAGGAAGACGGCCCCUAUGGGUUGUAAACUGCUUUUGUACGGGGAAGAAAACACUCCUACGUGUAGGAGCUUGACGGUACCGUAAGAAUAAGGAUCGGCUAACUCCGUGCCAGCAGCCGCGGUAAUACGGAGGAUCCAAGCGUUAUCCGGAAUCAUUGGGUUUUAAAAGGGGUUCCGUAGGCGGCCUUAUGAGUCAGUGGUGAAAUCUCCUAGCUCAACUAGGAAACUGCCAUUGAUACUGUAGGGCUUGAAUUUUUGUGAAGUAACUAGAAUAUGUAGUGUAGCGGUGAAAUGCUUAGAUAUUACAUGGAAUACCAAUUGCGAAGGCAGGUUACUAACAAACGAUUGACGCUGAUGGACGAAAGCGUGGGGAGCGAACAGGAUUAGAUACCC
This 767-nucleotide ribosomal RNA is filed under the name uncultured bacterium. RNAcentral describes it as "bacterial SSU rRNA". It matches the Rfam family "Bacterial small subunit ribosomal RNA", at positions 28 to 787 of the family's 1533-position model. The record is from RNAcentral.